GAAACGAGCGUUACCAUGGCAACCCUGCGGCGGAAGCUCUGAGAAGCUCUUGGCCUCUACCGGUUCUGCGAGAAAGUAAACUUUGGGCACGACAAGUCAUGAAGUCGGCACGUUGGGGAGACACCGUGUCACAAUGACAAGGUUUCUAGUUCGUGCUUUGUUCAGAUUGCCCAGAAGCUGAUGAUCACAGAGAAGAGGUCAUAUUUGUCAUGAGAAAGCUUUCCUGCACCAGGAUUCAGUAAAGGCGUUUACCAGCAGGGCCCAUGGUGCCUCCAGAGGCAGGAUGGUGCUCAAAACCCAUCACUGAGGCCAGGAAGUGAGGACAAAA
RNAcentral lists this long non-coding RNA (328 nucleotides) under Homo sapiens (human). Its description in RNAcentral is "HSALNT0341162". Lineage: Eukaryota; Metazoa; Chordata; Mammalia; Primates; Hominidae. The record is from RNAcentral.